This 280-nucleotide unclassified non-coding RNA is filed under the name Hevea brasiliensis (rubber tree). The record is from RNAcentral. Lineage: Eukaryota; Viridiplantae; Streptophyta; Magnoliopsida; Malpighiales; Euphorbiaceae.
AAAAAAAGAAAUUCAUGCAUCAUUUUACUCGCAAUGGCUGAUGAACAUCAAUGUCUUUCUGUAUACUGUUAUGUUUUAUUAUGUUGUUUUUAAAGGUCAAUUGGUCUCAAUUUUUGAAACACAUAAAACUGCAUUCCGGUGUCCAUUGAUAGCAGCCUGGUUCAAAAAUUAUUCAGCAAAAACAAUGCCUUUUCCAGUGUAUUUUUUGAAAAGCCCUAUGAUGUUUUUAAGAGACUGUAAACAAGAUGUGUUUAUAGUACAAGAUAGACCAUUAAACCUA